RNAcentral lists this non-coding RNA (28 nucleotides) under Rattus norvegicus (Norway rat). The record is from RNAcentral. Lineage: Eukaryota; Metazoa; Chordata; Mammalia; Rodentia; Muridae.
UGUCACAGCCGAAUUUAACCUGUGCCAA